This 560-nucleotide ribosomal RNA is filed under the name uncultured bacterium. RNAcentral's name for it is "bacterial SSU rRNA". It matches the Rfam family "Bacterial small subunit ribosomal RNA", at positions 338 to 916 of the family's 1533-position model. The record is from RNAcentral.
CCUACGGGAGGCAGCAGUGGGGAAUCUUGGACAAUGGGCGCAAGCCUGAUCCAGCCAUGCCGCGUGAGUGAUGAAGGCCCUAGGGUCGUAAAGCUCUUUCGCCAGGGAUGAUAAUGACAGUACCUGGUAAAGAAACCCCGGCUAACUCCGUGCCAGCAGCCGCGGUAAUACGGAGGGGGUUAGCGUUGUUCGGAAUUACUGGGCGUAAAGCGCGCGUAGGCGGAUUGGAAAGUUGGGGGUGAAAUCCCGGGGCUCAACCCCGGAACUGCCUCCAAAACUCCCAGUCUUGAGUUCGAGAGAGGUGAGUGGAACUCCGAGUGUAGAGGUGAAAUUCGUAGAUAUUCGGAAGAACACCAGUGGCGAAGGCGGCUCACUGGCUCGAUACUGACGCUGAGGUGCGAAAGUGUGGGGAGCAAACAGGAUUAGAUACCCUGGUAGUCCACACCGUAAACGAUGAAUGCCAGUCGUCGGGUAGCAUGCUAUUCGGUGACACACCUAACGGAUUAAGCAUUCCGCCUGGGGAGUACGGUCGCAAGAUUAAAACUCAAAGGAAUUGACGG